Molecule: RNA transcript, 1991 nt
Organism: Arachis stenosperma
Lineage: Eukaryota; Viridiplantae; Streptophyta; Magnoliopsida; Fabales; Fabaceae
Gene name: receptor-like cytosolic serine/threonine-protein kinase RBK2
Exons: 7
Source: RefSeq, a predicted model, not a curated record
ACCUUGAGAGACUCAAAGUUCAGAGUGAAGCUGCUGCUGCUUCUUCUUCUCCAACGCUUGAGAGUGGAGACCAAAGACGGAGUCACCGUCACGGAGAGGGGCAGAGAGUAGAUCAGUAGAGCUUCUUCUUCUCCGACAAUUGAGAAAUCCGCCAUCUUCUGUCGGAGAGCAGAGCUUCUUUUUCUUCUUCUUCUUCUCCUCCUCCGCCGAGCCCGCCGUCGCGCCAUCCUGUUCAUGGAGUGAAAUGCGGUAUCUAUGGUGCCAAUUGCCCUGGGUGGAUAAUAAGCAUGGAGCCUGUAAUGCUCAUGGACUUUAUUGUGUUCUUUUGUAUGAUACAUUAGGUGCUGGAGCAGUGGAGUUUAUUAUAUGCCAUGCAGAGAUCUCAAUUGCUUUUGGAAGUUAUUUAAGCAGCAAUCUCUUUGGCCAAAUAGGAAGGUCUUCUUGUUUCUUUGGAUUUGGCCAGUUUUGAGAUGGUGAGGAAAUUUAAGCCACCACUUAUGAAGUUAUUGGAGUCUCGCAAUAUAGACCUCUGUUUUGCCAAUCAAGAUGAAGCAACGGAACUUCAAUUGUAAUUUUUUCUGUUGGCUUCUUUCCCAAUCUCGUUUUCUUUGCUUUGGUUGGAAAAUGUUUAGUUGACUCUGCUGUGAACUGUUUGCUGUUGUGCAUUGAUCACUUGGAGAACAUGACUAACUAUACAAUCAUGGUAGUUUGGUUCACACUGAAGGAAUUUGUUCUCAAGCCAUUGCCUCCCAAUAUAGUGCAUAUCAGGAUUUGAUUCAUGAAGCUUUCUAAGAAAGCUAGUGUUCUCAUUGCUCUUGCAAUGGCUGCUGGCACUGGAAGGGUACGAUGUUUGCUAUAUUCAGAGUGCUAUGUUUUGCUCAUAUUAUUGUAGAUUCUAGAUUGGCAUGUUGACAUGUUGAUGACCUUUCUCCUUACUUACAUGUUGUGGCUGGAGAGCUUGAACUGAAUCAUGAAUGCAGUUUGAUGUAAUAGUCGCCAGAGGAUUUCGAAUCUAAAUUGCAGGGGAUCUUGAUUAAUGGGCAAUUCCUAGGGCCCACUAUAGAUGCGGUUACAAAUGAUUUAAAAACACCAGGGGAUGAAUUGGAAGUGAAUCUCAAGAGUUGGGCUGUUAGCUCAAUAUCUAGCUUUCAGAAUAUUUACUUUUUGGGCCAGUAUUUAGUUAUUACAUAUUUGGUUUUAAAUUUUUAGUUUCAUGCUACAUUUUGUUACUUAUGACAAUGUGACUUUAGUUUUUCAAAGGUUGUAAAAUUUUAUGAUUUUAGCUUUUGUACUGCAGUCUGCACUAUUAUAAUUGUUUUGUGCAAAAUGCAUAAACAUCUAAAACUAAUAUUAUGUUUAAGUUUACUAUAGGUGAAAAGACUAACAAGAGGAAUAGCUGAUGAAACUAUAGGUGACUUCUUAUCAGAACUUGGAAUCAUGACUCAUGUAAGCCACACCAACAUUGCUAAAUUGGUUGGUUAUGGUGUGGAAGGUGAAAUGCAUCUGGUUCUUGAAUUGUCUGAAAAAGGAAGCCUAACUUCAGUUCUUUAUGGUAAUGCAGGAUUAAUUGUUUAACUUUUUCAAAAUUUUCAUGUGUUUCUAAUUUCUUGUGAUUGUUAUUAGGGUCCAAGGAGAAGCUUUCGUGGUCUAUUAGGCAGAGAAUUGUAUUAGGAACAGCAGAGAGAAUAUUAUAUCUUCAUGAAGGUUGUCAAAGAAGAAUUAUCCAUAGAAAUAUAAAAGCUGCAAAUAUCUUACUCACUGAUGACUUUAAGCCUCAAAUUUUUUAUUUUUUGCUAGCAAAAUGGCUACCAGAGAAUUGGAAUCACCACAGUGUUACAAGAUUUGAAGGGACAUUUGGGUUUAUAACAUUAAGAAAUAAAUAAAUUAAUCCUCUAUAAUCUAUAUUUAAUCAAUUUUUGUAACCUCAUAAUAACUUAGGUAUGGGUGACACAGAUACCUUGCUCUAGAAUACUUACUCCAUGGCAUAGUAG